UGCGUAGGUGGUUUCUCAAGUCAGAGGUGAAAGGCUACGGCUCAACCGUAGUAAGCCUUUGAAACUGGGAAACUUGAGUGCAGGAGAGGAGAGUGGAAUUCCUAGUGUAGCGGUGAAAUGCGUAGAUAUUAGGAGGAACACCAGUUGCGAAGGCGGCUCUCUGGACUGUAACUGACACUGAGGCACGAAAGCGUGGGGAGCAAACA
This 206-nucleotide ribosomal RNA is filed under the name uncultured bacterium. Its description in RNAcentral is "partial 16S ribosomal RNA". It matches the Rfam family "Bacterial small subunit ribosomal RNA", at positions 568 to 774 of the family's 1533-position model. The record is from RNAcentral.